AUACGGAAGGUCCGGGCGUUAUCCGGAUUUAUUGGGUUUAAAGGGAGCGCAGGCGGAGAUGCAAGCGUGACGUCAAAUUUCGGGGCUCAACCCCGUCUCGCGUCGCGAACUGCGUCCCUUGGUUGCGGGAAGGGGAGGCGGAACUCGUGGUGUAGCGGUGAAAUGCAUAGAUAUCACGAAGAACUCCGAUCGCGAAGGCAGCCUUCCGGCCCGUCAACGACGCUCAUGCUCGAAGGUGCGGGUAUCAAACAGGAUUAGAUACCCUGGUAGUCCGCACAGUAAACGAUGGACACCCGCGGUUUGGCCUGUAUGGCUGAGCCGCCAAGCGAAAGUGUUAAGUGUCCCACCUGGGGAGUACGCCGGCAACGGUGAAACUCAAAGGAAUUGACGGGG
RNAcentral lists this ribosomal RNA (393 nucleotides) under uncultured bacterium. Its description in RNAcentral is "partial 16S ribosomal RNA". It matches the Rfam family "Bacterial small subunit ribosomal RNA", at positions 523 to 918 of the family's 1533-position model. The record is from RNAcentral.